RNAcentral lists this ribosomal RNA (497 nucleotides) under uncultured bacterium. RNAcentral's name for it is "partial 16S ribosomal RNA". It matches the Rfam family "Bacterial small subunit ribosomal RNA", at positions 28 to 507 of the family's 1533-position model. The record is from RNAcentral.
GAUGAACGCUGGCGGCGUGCCUAACACAUGCAAGUCGAGCGGACGGACGCUGCUUUUGCGUGGCUGUCGUUUGCGGCGGGCGGGUGAGUCACGCGUGUAUACCCUACCUAUAUGACUGAGAUCACUACGAGACUGCGUAUAUUAUCCCGGAUAAGCUUUUGAUCCGCGUGGUUCGUAGGAGAGAGACGGUCUUGCUGUCUCUUAUCGAUGGUUCCGAGCUGCAUUAGCUAGUUGGUAAGUUAACGGCUUACCAAGGCGACGAUGCAUAGCCGACGGGCGAGGGGGAUCGGCCACACUGGAACUGAGACACGGUCCAGACUCCUACGGGAGGCAGCAGUAGGGAAUGUUCCGCAAUGGGCGAAAGCCUGACGGAGCAAGGCCGCGUGUGUGACGAAGGUCUUCGGAUCGUAAAGCUCUGUUAUGAGGGAAGAACAGAUGUGGAAUGAAAUGUGGCGAGCUUGACGGUACCUAAUCAAAAAGCACCGGCUAACUACGUG